UAUCGCACAAUGGGGGAAACCCUGAUGCAGCGACGCCGCGUGAGUGAAGAAGUAUUUCGGUAUGUAAAGCUCUAUCAGCAGGGAAGAUAAUGACGGUACCUGACUAAGAAUCCUCGGCUAACUACGUGCCAUCAGCCGCGGUAAUACGUAGGGGGCAAGCGUUAUCCGGAUUUACUGGGUGUAAAGGGUGCGUAGGUGGCAGGGCAAGUCAGAUGUGAAAGCCCGGGGCUCAACCCCGGUACUGCAUUUGAAACUGUCCAGCUGGAGUGCAGGAGAGGUAAGCGGAAUUCCUAGUGUAGCGGUGAAAUGCGUAGAUAUUAGGAGGAACAUCAGUGGCGAAGGCGGCUUACUGGACUGUAACUGACACUGAGGCACGAAAGCGUUGGGAGCA
This 391-nucleotide ribosomal RNA is filed under the name uncultured bacterium. RNAcentral's name for it is "bacterial SSU rRNA". It matches the Rfam family "Bacterial small subunit ribosomal RNA", at positions 362 to 770 of the family's 1533-position model. The record is from RNAcentral.